Molecule: long non-coding RNA, 430 nt
Filed under: Ananas comosus (pineapple)
Lineage: Eukaryota; Viridiplantae; Streptophyta; Magnoliopsida; Poales; Bromeliaceae
Description: long non-coding RNA (ACOM_LNC043833)
Source: RNAcentral
AAUUUGAAUUUUAAAAUUUGAAAUUUGAAAUUUGAAAUUUGAAAUUUAAAAUUUAAAAUUUAGAAUUUAAAUUUGAAAUUUAAAAUUUAAAAUUUAAAAUUUAAAAUUUAAAAUUUAAAUUUGAAAUUUAAAAUUUAGAAUUUGAAAUUUAAAAUCUAAAUUUUUAAACUUCAAAUUUAAAAUUUUUUAAAUUUUAAAUUUCAAUUUCUAAAUUUAAAAUUUAAAUUUUAAAUUUUAAAUUUUAAAUUUUGAAUUAUAAAUUUGAAAUUUCAAAUUUAAAUUUAAAUUUGAAAUUUAAAAUUUAGAAUUUGAAAUUUAAAAUCUAAAAUUUAAAAUCCAUUGCCACACACAGUCGGUCCCUGUACCGCAAUACUCCCGAACUGUCCAUAGAAAAGGCCUCAGCCUGUCCCCUCUCAAACUGCUCUUGAAU